AUAGGGGAGCCGGAGGGAAACCGAGUCUUAAUUGGGCGUUAAGUUGCAGGGUAUAGACCCGAAACCCGGUGAUCUAGCCAUGGGCAGGUUGAAGGUUGGGUAACACUAACUGGAGGACCGAACCGACUAAUGUUGAAAAAUUAGCGGAUGACCUGUGGCUGGGGGUGAAAGGCCAAUCAAACCGGGAGAUAGCUGGUUCUCCCCGAAAGCUAUUUAGGUAGCGCCUCGUGAAUUCAUCUCCGGGGGUAGAGCACUGUUUCGGCUAGGGGGCCAUCCCGGCUUACCAACCCGAUGCAAACUGCGAAUACCGGAGAAUGUUAUCACGGGAGACACACGGCGGGUGCUAACGUCCGUCGUGAAGAGGGAAACAACCCAGACCGCCAGCUAAGGUCCCAAAGUCAUGGUUAAGUGGGAAACGAUGUGGGAAGGCCCAGACAGCCAGGAUGUUGGCUUAGAAGCAGCCAUCAUUUAAAGAAAGCGUAAUAGCUCACUGGUCGAGUCGGCCUGCGCGGAAGAUGUAACGG
RNAcentral lists this ribosomal RNA (524 nucleotides) under Salmonella enterica subsp. enterica. Its description in RNAcentral is "bacterial LSU rRNA". It matches the Rfam family "Bacterial large subunit ribosomal RNA", at positions 657 to 1178 of the family's 2925-position model. Lineage: Bacteria; Pseudomonadati; Pseudomonadota; Gammaproteobacteria; Enterobacterales; Enterobacteriaceae. The record is from RNAcentral.